Non-coding RNA from Potamilus streckersoni, 86 nucleotides. Lineage: Eukaryota; Metazoa; Mollusca; Bivalvia; Unionida; Unionidae. The record is from the annotation of a GenBank genome assembly.
GCUCCGGUGGCCUAGUGGUUAUAGAGCGUCCGCCUGAGGUGCGGGAGGUCGCGGGUUCUGACCCUGGCCAAGUCAUACCCAAGACG